UAUCACAUCACAUCGUUGGCCAUAUCACAUCACAAGCAUACCCUGCAAAAAUAAGUUAGACGUCCUCUAAUUGUUGUUGCAUGUUUUACGUGGUCACCAUGGGUAUCUAGUAGGAUCGCAUCUUACUUACGCAAACAACACGACGGAGAUAUAUGAAUUGCUAUUUAACCUCAUCCAAGGACCUCCUCGGUCAAAUCUGAUUCAACUAAAGUUGGAGAAACCGACACUCGCCAGUCAUCUUUGAGCAACGGAGUUACUCCUAGCGAUGAAACCAGUCUCUCGUAAGCGUACGAGUAAUGUCGGUCCGAGCCGCUUCGAUCCAACAAUACCGCGGAAUCAAGAAAAGACUAAGGAGGGCAGCAAAACGCACAUCACCGCCCACAAAAACUUUUGUGUUCUACUUGAGAUUACAUCUACGCAUGAACCUAGCUCAUGGUGCCACUGUUGGGGAACGUCGCAUAGGAAACAAAAAAAUUUCCUACGCGCAUGAAG
RNAcentral lists this long non-coding RNA (492 nucleotides) under Hordeum vulgare. Its description in RNAcentral is "long non-coding RNA (HVUL_LNC001884)". The record is from RNAcentral. Lineage: Eukaryota; Viridiplantae; Streptophyta; Magnoliopsida; Poales; Poaceae.